UGGAAGAAUAUAAGAAAAUCUUAGUAUGCCUAUCAUUUUUUAGUGAUGUUCUGCCAAGGAUGGCAGAACAAGGAUUCACGAGCCAUGGAAGGCUCGUUGAAUGCCGGUCACGUCAUGAUGAAACAGUUUUCGUUAAGCAUACUUAGGUUUUCUUAUAUUCGAAC
RNAcentral lists this non-coding RNA (164 nucleotides) under uncultured Roseburia sp. Lineage: Bacteria; Bacillati; Bacillota; Clostridia; Lachnospirales; Lachnospiraceae. The record is from RNAcentral.